RNAcentral lists this ribosomal RNA (320 nucleotides) under uncultured eukaryote. RNAcentral describes it as "partial 18S ribosomal RNA". It matches the Rfam family "Eukaryotic small subunit ribosomal RNA", at positions 1470 to 1796 of the family's 1831-position model. The record is from RNAcentral.
CCCUUAGAUGUUCUGGGCCGCACGCGCGCUACACUGAACAGUUCAACAAGUCUUAACCUUGGCCGAUAGGUCUGGGUAAUCUUUGAACGCUGUUCGUGAUUGGGAUAGACCUUUGCAAUUAUGGGUCUUCAACGAGGAAUUCCUAGUAAACGCAAGUCAUCAGCUUGCAUUGAUUACGUCCCUGCCCUUUGUACACACCGCCCGUCGCACCUACCGAUUGAAUGGUCCGGUGAAAUCUCGGGACGGCGGCUUGGUCGCUUGCGUCCGACUGCUGAAACUUGAUUAAACCAUAUCAUUUAGGGGAAGGUGAAGUCGUAACA